Molecule: non-coding RNA, 511 nt
Organism: Cyanistes caeruleus (blue tit)
Lineage: Eukaryota; Metazoa; Chordata; Aves; Passeriformes; Paridae
Source: RefSeq, a predicted model, not a curated record
GAUGAAUGCUGCCUGUGUCUUCAGAGCACAGACAAAUGCUGAGGAAUAAAAUGAAGUUAGAUUGACUAAAUGAGAUGAUUGGAUCAUCUACUCAGGCAUAUAUGGCUGAGUAGCUGGAGGUUUUGGUGUCUGGAAGAUGUGAGAUCCAGCUGAUGCCUUUUUGCAGAUAGGAUGAUUCCAACCCUGCUGCUGUGUGGGCAUCUUUGCCUGUAUAGUAAGGCUGGAACAAAAGUUGCAACCUUUCUCUCUGUCGGUGCUGAGAUUCUCUCUUCUCAGCUUAACUACCUAAUAUCAUAAUGCUUGAUGAAAAUCACUGUCUUUGAGGAAAUUAUUGAUUCAGAAAUUACUGGAGAGAGAGAGAAGGAGAGAUAAGGAUCAUUUCUUUAGGAAGCCUUGGUAUAAAAAGUUAUAAGGCAGUGAAGAUCAGUGAUUAACUAUUUUUAGUGCAGUCUUAAAAAUGAAUUCUGAUUUUCUUCAUUCUUUUAUAAUAUAGGGAAAUUCAAAAUUAUUA